This 1031-nucleotide long non-coding RNA is filed under the name Numida meleagris (helmeted guineafowl). Its description in RNAcentral is "lncRNA (ENSNMEG00000009713.1)". The record is from RNAcentral. Lineage: Eukaryota; Metazoa; Chordata; Aves; Galliformes; Numididae.
UACAGCAUAUAUAUGUUUAAGAAUCAUUCUCCUUCAUUUUUACAAACAUUAAUUUAAAUGUAUGUCUUUACCAAUAUGAAACAUGUUAUUUCUCAUAGAAUUUUGAAGUAUCCUUUUUUUCCUUCUCUUUGAUAUUAAAAAUGGUUAGUAAGUUAAAGAAUGAAAUGGAAACCAUGCUUCUUAAAUGACCAUCCAAGCAUAACCAACAAAAUUAAAUCUGUAAAAAUAAAGUUUUAGAUAAACUUCAUUUAAAGGAGCAGAAAUUACUUUCUUUUUCAGUUGCAGAAGUCCUUAUAAGAGAGGGAUCCAAAUAGCUUUAUUAUUGCAUGCAGUGAGACAAUCAAAUGGCAGUAGGUGGAAUAAUCUAUAUUUUAGUCAGACUCUGGCUGAAAUAUAACUCAUAGUGUAAUGCAGUAUUGAGAAGUUAAUACAACUUAUAUGCAGGUAAUUUGCAAAGAGAAAAAGGAGCAAAUGGAAAAAUUAUUAAGCUUGAGAUGACCAUCUCACUUUAUUCAAAUCUCUGACUUCCUUUGUAUACACAGAGUUGUAUACAGACAUGACUAAUGUAUUGCUCAGAUAGGUUGUUAAGUCAGAUAUUCACCAGCCAUUGAUUUCCAUCCAUCUUUAAUUUAGAUUCCUGGACCAGCUUCUUGUACAUGGCCACUUUCCAGGAAUUCUGAACUCUGUAACAGACACGUAGCUAUAAAGUGGAGGGAUGGCAUGAUUUAGACAACAAAGACUAUGACUGCUGGCCCCUGGAAAAACCAGAUGAAUAUAACAUGAUGGACUGUGGAGGGAUGAUCGAACAGUGGAACAGUUUGCUCAGAGAAGUUGUGAUUUCUCCAUCCUUGUAGACAAGUAAAACUGAGUUGAGGAAGAUACUGAGCAACAUGCUGUAGGUAACUGUGUCUUGAGAGGAGUGGGAUUGGACUGGGUGAUUUCCAGAGAUAGAUACCUUCUAAUUUCAAUCAGUUUGUGAUCCUGUGAUUGUAACUAAUAAAGACUAUAUAACUUGUAUAAAGGAAUGCUUU